CCCGUAGUUCAGUUGGAUAGAAUACGAGUUUCCUAAACUUGGGGUCGGAGGUUCGAAUCCUUCCGGGCACGCCA
This 74-nucleotide transfer RNA is filed under the name Cellvibrionales bacterium TMED148. RNAcentral's name for it is "tRNA-Arg". It matches the Rfam family "tRNA". From Rfam's summary of the family: Transfer RNA (tRNA) molecules are approximately 80 nucleotides in length. Their secondary structure includes four short double-helical elements and three loops (D, anti-codon, and T loops). Further hydrogen bonds mediate the characteristic L-shaped molecular structure. tRNAs have two regions of fundamental functional importance: the anti-codon, which is responsible for specific mRNA codon recognition, and the 3' end, to which the tRNAs corresponding amino acid is attached (by aminoacyl-tRNA synthetases). tRNAs cope with the degeneracy of the genetic code in two manners: having more than one tRNA (with a specific anti-codon) for a particular amino acid; and 'wobble' base-pairing, i.e. permitting non-standard base-pairing at the 3rd anti-codon position. RNAcentral also lists the same sequence under 1 other name. The record is from RNAcentral. Lineage: Bacteria; Pseudomonadati; Pseudomonadota; Gammaproteobacteria; Cellvibrionales.